This 475-nucleotide ribosomal RNA is filed under the name uncultured bacterium. RNAcentral describes it as "bacterial SSU rRNA". It matches the Rfam family "Bacterial small subunit ribosomal RNA", at positions 28 to 492 of the family's 1533-position model. The record is from RNAcentral.
GAUGAACGCUAGCGGCAGGCUUAACACAUGCAAGUCGAGGGGCAGCAUGAUAAGUAGCAAUACUUAUUGAUGGCGACCGGCGCAAGGGUGCGUAACGCGUGAGUAACAUGCCCGUAUCAGGAGGAUAACCCGGAGAAAUCCGGACUAAUACUGCAUAAUAUCGAUUUGAGGCAUCUUGGAUUGAUUAAAGUUUCGACGGAUACGGAUUGGCUCGCGUGACAUUAGCUAGAUGGUAAGGUAACGGCUUACCAUGGCGACGAUGUCUAGGGGUUCUGAGAGGAAGGUCCCCCACACUGGAACUGAGACACGGUCCAGACUCCUACGGGAGGCAGCAGUGAGGAAUAUUGGACAAUGGAUGGAAAUCUGAUCCAGCCAUGCCGCGUGAAGGAAUACGGUCCUAUGGAUUUUAAACUUCUUUUGUAUGGGAGCAAUAAGGUGUACGCGUACAUCGAUGAGAGUACCAUACGAAUAAGCA